This 446-nucleotide ribosomal RNA is filed under the name uncultured bacterium. RNAcentral's name for it is "partial 16S ribosomal RNA". It matches the Rfam family "Bacterial small subunit ribosomal RNA", at positions 338 to 795 of the family's 1533-position model. The record is from RNAcentral.
CCUACGGGAGACUGCAGUCGAGAAUCAUUCACAAUGGGGGAAACCCUGAUGGUGCGACGCCGCGUGGGGGAAUGAAGGUCUUCGGAUUGUAAACCCCUGUCAUGUGGGAGCAAAUUCAAAAGAUAGUACCACAAGAGGAAGAGACGGCUAACUCUGUGCCAGCAGCCGCGGUACUACAGAGGUCUCAAGCGUUGUUCGGAAUCACUGGGCGUAAAGCGUGCGUAGGCUGUUUCGUAAGUCGUGUGUGAAAGGCGCGGGCUCAACCCGCGGACGGCACAUGAUACUGGGAGACUAGAGUAAUGGAGGGGGAACCGGAAUUCGCGGUGUAGCAGUGAAAUGCGUAGAUAUCGAGAGGAACACUCGGGGCGAAGGCGGGUUCCUGGACAUUAACUGACGCUGAGGCACGAAGGCCAGGGGAGCGAAAGGGAUUAGAUACCCCAGUAGUC